RNAcentral lists this ribosomal RNA (254 nucleotides) under uncultured bacterium. Its description in RNAcentral is "partial 16S ribosomal RNA". It matches the Rfam family "Bacterial small subunit ribosomal RNA", at positions 524 to 776 of the family's 1533-position model. The record is from RNAcentral.
UACGGGGGGAGCAAGCGUUGUUCGGAUUUACUGGGCGUAAAGGGCGCGUAGGCGGCCUCCGCAAGUCAGUUGUGAAAUCUCCGAGCUUAACUCGGAAAGGUCAACUGAUACUGCGGGGCUAGAGUGCAGAAGGGGCAACUGGAAUUCUCGGUGUAGCGGUGAAAUGCGUAGAUAUCAAGCGGAACACCGGUGGCGAAGGCGGCCUUCUGGACAGUGACUGACGCUGAGACGCGAAAGCGUGGGGAGCAAACAGG